RNAcentral lists this ribosomal RNA (492 nucleotides) under uncultured bacterium. Its description in RNAcentral is "partial 16S ribosomal RNA". It matches the Rfam family "Bacterial small subunit ribosomal RNA", at positions 29 to 507 of the family's 1533-position model. The record is from RNAcentral.
AGUGAACGCUGGCGGCAUGCCUAACACAUGCAAGUCGAACGGCAGCACAGUAAGAGCUUGCUCUUACGGGUGGCGAGUGGCGGACGGGUGAGGAAUACAUCGGAAUCUACUUUUUCGUGGGGGAUAACGUAGGGAAACUUACGCUAAUACAGCAUACGACCUACGGGUGAAAGCAGGGGAUCUUCGGACCUUGCGCGAUUGAAUGAGCCGAUGUCGGAUUAGCUAGUUGGCGGGGUAAAGGCCCACCAAGGCGACGAUCCGUAGCUGGUCUGAGAGGAUGAUCAGCCACACUGGAACUGAGACACGGUCCAGACUCCUACGGGAGGCAGCAGUGGGGAAUAUUGGACAAUGGGCGCAAGCCUGAUCCAGCAAUACCGCGUGAGUGAAGAAGGCCUUCGGGUUGUAAAGCCCUUUUGUUGGGAAAGAAAAGCAGCAGGUUAAUACCCGGCUGUUCUGACGGUACCCAAAGAAUAAGCACCGGCUAACUUCGUG